GUCGAUUAUUUCAUCUUUCUUCAGAGUUC
RNAcentral lists this non-coding RNA (29 nucleotides) under Mus musculus (house mouse). Lineage: Eukaryota; Metazoa; Chordata; Mammalia; Rodentia; Muridae. The record is from RNAcentral.